Molecule: ribosomal RNA, 583 nt
Filed under: Citrobacter amalonaticus
Lineage: Bacteria; Pseudomonadati; Pseudomonadota; Gammaproteobacteria; Enterobacterales; Enterobacteriaceae
Also listed under: 1 other name
Description: partial 23S ribosomal RNA
Rfam family: Bacterial large subunit ribosomal RNA
Source: RNAcentral
UUUUGUAUAAUGGGUCAGCGACUUAUAUUCUGUAGCAAGGUUAACCGAAUAGGGGAGCCGAAGGGAAACCGAGUCUUAACUGGGCGUUAAGUUGCAGGGUAUAGACCCGAAACCCGGUGAUCUAGCCAUGGGCAGGUUGAAGGUUGGGUAACACUAACUGGAGGACCGAACCGACUAAUGUUGAAAAAUUAGCGGAUGACUUGUGGCUGGGGGUGAAAGGCCAAUCAAACCGGGAGAUAGCUGGUUCUCCCCGAAAGCUAUUUAGGUAGCGCCUCGUGAAUUCAUCUUCGGGGGUAGAGCACUGUUUCGGCUAGGGGGUCAUCCCGACUUACCAACCCGAUGCAAACUGCGAAUACCGAAGAAUGUUAUCACGGGAGACACACGGCGGGUGCUAACGUCCGUCGUGAAGAGGGAAACAACCCAGACCGCCAGCUAAGGUCCCAAAGUCAUGGUUAAGUGGGAAACGAUGUGGGAAGGCUCAGACAGCCAGGAUGUUGGCUUAGAAGCAGCCAUCAUUUAAAGAAAGCGUAAUAGCUCACUGGUCGAGUCGGCCUGCGCGGAAGAUGUAACGGGGCUAAACCAU